RNAcentral lists this ribosomal RNA (468 nucleotides) under uncultured bacterium. Its description in RNAcentral is "partial 16S ribosomal RNA". It matches the Rfam family "Bacterial small subunit ribosomal RNA", at positions 28 to 507 of the family's 1533-position model. The record is from RNAcentral.
GACGAACGCUGGCGGCGUGCUUAACACAUGCAAGUCGAACGGAAAGGCCCUGCUUUUGUGGGGUGCUCGAGUGGCGAACGGGUGAGUAACACGUGAGUAACCUGCCCUUGACUUUGGGAUAACUUCAGGAAACUGGGGCUAAUACCGUAUAGGAGCUCCUGCUGCAUGGUGGGGGUUGGAAAGUUUCGGCGGUUGGGGAUGGACUCGCGGCUUAUCAGCUUGUUGGUGGGGUAGUGGCUUACCAAGGCUUUGACGGGUAGCCGGCCUGUGAGGGUGACCGGCCACAAUGGGACUGAGAUACGGCCCAGACUCCUACGGGAGGCAGAAGUGGGGAGUAUUGCACAAUGGGCGGAAGCCUGAUGCAGCAACGCCGCGUGCGGGAUGACGGCCUUCGGGUUGUAAACCGCUUUCGCCUGUGACGAAGCGUGAGUGACGGUAAUGGGUAAAGAAGCACCGGCUAACUACGUG